This 2832-nucleotide ribosomal RNA is filed under the name Triticum aestivum (bread wheat). RNAcentral's name for it is "partial small subunit ribosomal RNA". The record is from RNAcentral. Lineage: Eukaryota; Viridiplantae; Streptophyta; Magnoliopsida; Poales; Poaceae.
AUGUGCCAGCGACGGCGAGCCGGAAGCAGCGACAUCAGGAAGCAAGUUCCCAAGAACCACUUGCUGCUAUUAGGCAUGGCAGAAGGCAUUGUUGCCUCACUGAUGGUCAAGCUGGGAGUGGCCUUAGCAACUCAGGCGGCAACAUUUGGUGGAUCAUGCAUCGCUCAUGAAGUGACUGCUUUGAGAAGGCUCUUCAGUGAGAUGGAGGAGAUCAAGGAUGAGUUGGAGUGCAUGCAGACCUUCCUGCAGGUUUCUGAGAGGCUCAGAGACCACGACGAAACAAUGGCAACAUUUGUUAGGAAGGUACGGACGCUUUCCUUUGGCAUCGAGGAUGUUGUUGAUGAGUUCAGCUGCAAGUUCUGCGACGAUCAUGGUGGAGCCGCUUCCAGGGCAAUACGGAAGCUCAGGCGCAUCAGGACAUGGCACCGCCUUGCCUUUCGGCUUGUGCGAAUCAAAGCCAGCCUAAAAAUUGCCGUAGAAAGAGUUAAGAUGUUCAACACAGAAGGAAUUAGCAAGGUACAACAACCUCAAGCACACGAUAAAAAAUUGGGACCAUCAGAAUCUGCUGGCCUUGUAACAGCUGAUUGUCCGGUUGGGAUUGAGCAUAACAGGGACUUGCUGAUUGGAUGGCUAACAGAUGAGAUCCAGCAGAACAUGGUGAUCUCUGUGUGGGGCAUGGGUGGAGUCGGAAAGACUACUCUUGUAACUCAUGUUUACAACAUUAUCAAGCCAAGAUUUGAGAGACAUGCAUUCAUUACAGUUUCACAACACUGUAGGUCCGUCGAUUUGCUAAGACAGAUACUGAAAAAGUUCUGCAAGAAGGAUCACAAUGUAACACUAUCUGAAGGCAUCGAUUCCAUGGAUCGUGAAAGCCUAGUCGAGAUUAUGCAAAGUUAUCUUCAUAGUAGAAGAUAUGUCCUCGUCUUGGAUGAUCUAUGGGAUGCUAAUGUUUGGUUCGAAAUCCGUGAUGCGUUUGCUGGUGGAGAUGGUUCCAGUAAGAUAGUUCUUACUUCAAGGAUCCAUGACGUCGCAUCACUAGCAAAAGACAAGUACAUAAUUGAUCUGAGACCAUUAGAAAGCCAGCAUUCAUGGGAUUUGUUCUGCAAAGAAGCAUUUUGGAAAAUGGAAGAUAAAAGUUGUCCUCGAGAACUGGAAGCAUCGGGUCAGAAAAUUGUAGAGAGUUGUGACGGCUUGCCAAUAGCUAUUGUGUGCAUAGGACGCCUCUUGUCCUUCAGAAGUCAGACUAGUUAUGAAUGGGAGAAAGUGCAGAAAGAUAUUGAGUUGCAGCUAACGAGCAAUUCGAUCCUUGAUAUGAACCUCAUUUUGAAGGUUAGCUUGGAGGAUCUGUCACACAAUUUAAAGAACUGUUUCCUGUUUUGUAGUUUGUUUCCAGAGGUCUACAGGAUCAGAAGGAAGAAGCUGAUCAGAUUCUGGGUAUCAGAGGGAUUCAUUAAAAGAACUGAAACAAGAACAGAGGAAGAGAUUGCCGAGGAUUACCUGAAUGAGCUAGUUAACCGGUGCCUGCUACAAGUUACUAAGAGAAACGAAUUUGGACGAGUUCGUGAAUGUCGAAUGCAUGACGUGGUCCGUGUUCUUGCUCUAUCAAAAUCGAAAGAGGAGAUGUUUUCUGCUGUUUAUGACUGCUCAAAAACAACCUCUUUACUAGGCAAAGCACGAAGGAUGUCAAUUCAGAGUGCUGAUUCUACGCUUUCAAGUCAUGAGAUGACACAUGUGCGAUCGUUACUUGUAUUUGACAAAUGUGUCCCUAUAGAUGCUCUAAGUGCUUCACUCACAUCACUCAAGUUGUUGUCAGUUUUGGACCUACAUGGCAUUCCAAUAAAAAGUAUACCUGUUCAAGUGUUCAGCCUGUUUAAUCUGCGAUUUUUGGGUUUGCGAGGAACUGAAAUUGAUGUGCUUCCUAAAGAAAUAAAAAAAUUACAGAACUUAGAAGUACUGGAUGCUUACAACACAAAAAUUACAUCACUGCCAGAAGAAAUGACAAGGCUCCGGAAGUUGAGGCAUCUCUUUGCAUCUGGAAUCCGAGAUGAUACUGACAGCAAUGUCGUGGUAUCCACUGGUGUAGCUGCUCCUCGAGGCAAAUGGCAUUCCACUAGUCUGCAGACCCUUCAAAAUUUUAAAGCAAAUGACGAGAUGUUGCAGAGCAUUGCAUGUUUGUCCGAGUUGAGGACGCUUGGCACUACAGAUAUAAGAUCAGGCCAGUCUGCAAGCUUGUGCAGUGCCAUCUCCAAGCUGUCUAAACUUCAACAUCUUUUGGUGUCCUCGAAAGGUGAUGAAGCGCUUCAGCUUUCGUCUGUUCAGCUGCCCCAAACAAUUCAGAAGCUCGAGGUUGGGGGUCUGCUGGGGCAGGCGACAGCACAUAACCUCUUCACUUCCAUCCGAUGCCUUGAGAACAUCACUCAUCUCCAUCUAUGGUUCUCAAUGAUAAAUCAAGAUCUCUUCCGCUACCUCCAAUCAGAUUGUUUGUUGUCGCUCUGUAUUCUGCAGGCGUUUCAAGGUGAGGAUAUGUCGUUCUCUGCAGGAUCAUUUCCCAAACUUCAGUCGCUUGUGGUACACGGUGCAUCACAACUCAGGCGGAUUGAGUUAGAAGAAGGCUCUAUGGUGAACCUGGUCCGCCUUACGGUAACAGGUUGUCCAACACUGAAGGAGCUGCCUCAAGGUGUUGAGUUCCUCCACAAGCUCGAAACGUUGCAGCUCGAGAUCACGGUUGAUGACUUUCUUGAGAAGAUUCAGUCAGAAGAAGAAUGGGAGGUACACCAGAGCAAGAUUAGUCACAUCAAGAAGGUUUAUGUUGGAUUUUCAGGAAAUGAAUAA